This 359-nucleotide unclassified non-coding RNA is filed under the name uncultured fungus. RNAcentral's name for it is "partial contains small subunit ribosomal RNA, internal transcribed spacer 1, and 5.8S ribosomal RNA". The stretch from base 1 to 73 matches the Rfam family "Eukaryotic small subunit ribosomal RNA", at positions 1759 to 1831 of the family's 1831-position model. Lineage: Eukaryota; Fungi. The record is from RNAcentral.
GCAAACUUGGUCAUUUAGAGGAAGUAAAAGUCGUAACAAGGUUUCCGUAGGUGAACCUGCGGAAGGAUCAUUAUUGAAUGAAAUUGGUUAGAUUGUUGCUGGCUCUUAGGAGCAAGUGCACGUCUACCGCCACUUUCACCACCUGUGCACUUUUUGUAGACUUGAGUUUGAUCGAGGGUCAUACCUCGGAUUGGGGACGUGCCAUUAUUGUAUGGCUGUCCUUGAAACUCUUAGUCUAUGUUUUUAUAUACCCCUACAAAUGUAACAGAAUGUUGACUAUUAUUGGCCUUUGUGCCUUUAAAUGUAAUACAACUUUCAACAACGGAUCUCUUGGCUCUCGCAUCGAUGAAGAACGCAGC